GAUCCUGCAGGUAGUGUCCGCGUGGGAGGGGAGGUGCAGCCGUCAGCGCUGCCGGCGGCUCCCGUUACGUGAAUUAGUGAGAGGUUCCCAGGAAACGAUGCCAGCGCUUUGAGUAGCGAAGAGGUGGAGAAAUAGCCCGGGCCGUUUGCAAGCUUUGAAGGAUGAUGCUGGCCUCAUAAAAUGAGUUGGGAGGAUUCCCUCUUUUUCUAUUGAUUGGAAUAGUUUCAGAAGGAAUGGUACCAGUUCUUCCUUGUACCUCUGGUAGAAUUCGGCUGUGAAUCCAUCUGGUCCUGGACUCUUUUUGGUUGAGACCGUCCAGGCUGGACUUGAACUCCUUCCUCGGCUGAAGUGAUCCUCCUGCCUCAGCGUCCUGAAUAGGAAGUGGAGCCAGAAUCCACAGAUGUCAUUAUCCAUCUGCACACUUUGUUUACUACCCAGAAGGCAAGAAUAUUGCAUUUUAAAAGUGCCCGGACUUUUGUUCUUUCUUAUCACAAAUGACUUGGGAAGCUCCGACCACUCAUGUUUACCCCGAGUGAAAGUCCCAUUCAAAGCCUUGCUUCCUGGAGAGCUUUGAGAUUCUGGUACAAAAGGCAUUUUAUAAGCACAAAGUGGAAAAGCAUCAUUCAUAUUCAUUUGCUGCUGCGGCAUUUCUCCCUGGAAUCUUCCUCUUGUCUGUCAACAUUGGGCAAAAGGACUGGCCUCAUCUACAUUACAGAUAUCCUUGUGAUGGUCUGGAGGUAGGAAAAGGACACCCAGCACAAGAGUGAGAAGGGAAACUCAAGCUCUCCUGUUGGAGAGUCUCAGGCUUCUUUAUCCAUAAAACUGAUUGGACAUAAUUGGUGUGGGUUUAUGAUUUGUUUUGGAAAAACCUGAGUAUGAAAUCAAUACUGUGCUUUGUGCAUCUUGGC
Long non-coding RNA from Homo sapiens (human), 908 nucleotides. Ensembl annotates it as EDRF1 divergent transcript. Its record names the gene EDRF1-DT. The record is from Ensembl. NCBI's taxonomy places the organism in Eukaryota, Metazoa, Chordata, Mammalia, Primates, Hominidae.